This is a long non-coding RNA of Mya arenaria, 184 nucleotides long. RefSeq lists it as uncharacterized. Lineage: Eukaryota; Metazoa; Mollusca; Bivalvia; Myida; Myidae. The transcript is spliced from 3 exons. The record is from RefSeq and is a predicted model, not a curated record.
CGAUGUGGCCUUCUACUAUUGUUGAUCCUGGGUGCCCUCCUGCUGGCUUUCGGCAUAGGGCUGCUGGUGUAUUAUUUAUUGCAUUCAUCACCAGAAUUUGCCAGCUAUCAGACGACGACAGCCCCCACUGAUGUUACGCUUCAGAACGUGCCGUAUAAUGCUAAUAUGGCCAACUCCUCUUCGG